GGCCUCUCGUUUAUAUUUGAGAGGUCUGGCCUGCCCAGUGAAUUAUAUUUAACGGCCGCGGUAUUUUGACCGUGCAAAGGUAGCAUAAUCAUUAGUCUUUUAAUAGAAGGCUGGAAUGAAAGGCUUGACGAGAAAUUAACUGUCUCAUUUUAAUUUAUAGAAUUUAACUUUUAAGUUAAAAGGCUUAAAUAUAAUUGGAAGACGAGAAGACCCUAUAGAGCUUUAUAUUUUAUUGUAUAAUAUUUAUUGUAUAUAAAUUGGUAUUAAUUAAUAAUUUAUUUUGUUGGGGUGACUAAAAUUUAUAAUUAACUUUUUUAUUAUUAUACCACUGAUUUGUGAUUAGUAGAUCCGUUAUUGACGAUUAAUAGAAUAAGUUACCUUAGGGAUAACAGCGUAAUCCUCCUUUGGAGUUCAUAUUUACGGGAGGGCUUGCGACCUCGAUGUUGGAUUAAGAUAAUAGUUUGGUGUAGUAGCUUUAUGAAUAGGUCUGUUCGACCUUUAAAUUCUUACAUGAUCUGAGUUCAGACCGG
Molecule: ribosomal RNA, 530 nt
Filed under: Philoganga vetusta
Lineage: Eukaryota; Metazoa; Arthropoda; Insecta; Odonata; Diphlebiidae
Description: partial 16S ribosomal RNA
Rfam family: Bacterial large subunit ribosomal RNA
Source: RNAcentral